RNAcentral lists this long non-coding RNA (1781 nucleotides) under Ananas comosus (pineapple). Its description in RNAcentral is "long non-coding RNA (ACOM_LNC016869)". Lineage: Eukaryota; Viridiplantae; Streptophyta; Magnoliopsida; Poales; Bromeliaceae. The record is from RNAcentral.
GUUGUUAAAUGUAUUAUGUCAUGACAUUUAGUUGUAAAGCAUACCUAAUUUGUGCCUUCUUUUAACUGCUACUACUACAGAAUACUUGUUAUUCGAUUGUCCCUGUGCAAUGCACAGAAAAACCUAUAGGGCGCGUUUGGUUCGCACUAUGAAAGAUUAUUAGGAAUAAAAAGAUAUCCGAAAAUCUUAUUCCUAUUCAUCCUAUUACUAAGAAUAUGACAUUCCUGUGUUUGGUUCGUACGGUCAUAUUAUUUAUUAAUGUUAUUUAAGAUUACAAAAAAUAUACAAAUAAUUUAUUUAUUUCUUUAAUUAAUUUUAGAUAAUGCUAUCAAAAAUUUCAACAUUUUUUUUUUUAAAAAAAGUAGAGAGAACAUAGGUUAGAGAGAGAGCAUAAUUAAAGAAAUAGGAAGAGAAAUAGAGUCGGAGUUAGAGAGAAUGAGAGAGUUGAAAUUUUAGAAAAAGAGGGAGAGAGAGAGCUUAGUUUAGAGAGAAAAAUAAUUGAAGUUUGGAGAGAAAAAGAUAAGUUUAGAGAGAGAUAUGAGGUUAGAGUAUAAAGAAAAAUAAUACUAACUAGCCGGCGGGUAGGGAGAAAGAAAGAAAACAUAUUAUGAUUAUUCCGAUCCAUUAAUAUGAGGAUAUCCACCCUCUCUCAAAAGAAUGAGAUUAGUACUUUGGGAUGAAUCUCAUUCCCAAGUAAAUAUAAUAUUACCAACUAGAUUACUUAGUGCGUUUAGCCAAGUACCGCCAUAGUUUUUUAUUCCUAUUGAAUUACUAGGAAUCUUAAAAAGAUGGCGCAAACCAAACGCACCCAUAUAGUUAUAUAGUUGGUCCCUAUUUUAUGUUGGGCUAUCAUUUGAGGCAUUUUCUUGUAUAAUGUUAAUGAACGCCUCCGAAAGGGUUUAGAAUAAUCUGAAACAAAUUCAACAUGAAUCUCACUCUAUUCAACCUCUACUAAUUUAAAUGCUUCACUUUUGUAUAUUAUGAGUCUCAAAUUUUCUUAUUAUGCUACUGUUUCUAUCUAUUUUUGUAUAUGUAGUGCACCAUUCUCUUCAUAUUUUGUACUUGCAUGCCUGGAUAUGAAUUUAAUGGGCUUGCAUGGCUGCACCGUUCUUAAUUCAUGCUAAACAAAUUGCACUUCUGAUAGGGGCAUUAUCCUUCUAAAUUUUGAUCUGAAAAGUUGGCAAUAAGAAACAUCUUAUUUACGUAACUUUUGCAUCUAAGAGGUUGAACUCAACCUGAUAUAAUCUAAAAUUAAAUUAGCAAUCAGAUCUUGAUUGUAUUGGCUAACUUUUGCAUCCUAAUUAUACAAGAGAAUUAGUGAGCCCGUUUUUAAUUUAGAGAAAAAGGAAUUGCGACCAAUUAAGUAAUAUAUCUCCAAAGAAAAAACCCAUUAAAUUCAUUGCAUAUCACAGAUCUAACUGUUGGAAUGUUCUUGAUGUGAUUUGAUUGUGAGAUUGUUAAAAAAUUGGAAAAAGAAAUAGAAAUGAUGGAAUGACAUCAUGGGAAUGAGAUGAAGGUUAUGAAAGAAAAUCAAGCUAGAUUAGAUUCUAAAAUUGUACUGAUGAGGUCAAUCAUUAAUUGAAGGUUUCUGAAGAGAUACAAUCAUGUGGUUCUAGAUCCUAUGAGACUGAGAGUUUUUAUAUUUAUUAUAUCAUUAGCACAUUCAAAUUUAUCUGUAUAUCAUGGUGUUUUUUAUCUAUUUAUUUGAGAAAAUCGCUUUUUGUUUAUAAUUUCUAAAAUAUUUUUUUUCUAUUUCUAUUGUUUAUUUUGUAUAAGUAUAG